UUGCAAUGAGAUUGUACUAAGGUAGCGCGAUAAUUUGUCUUUUUAUUGGGGAAUGGGAUGAAGGGUUUGACGAAGAGAAAUUGUCUCUGAAGAGAUAAGUGAAGUUUCCUUUUAAAUGAAAAGGUUUAAGUAAUAUUAAAAGACGAGAAGACCCUAUCGAGCUUGAUUAAACAAAGAAUUAAGUAUCAAAAGAAGUGUUAUUCUAACAGAUUAAGUAGAAUUUUUUUGUUAAAGUUUAGUUGGGGUAAGCUGGUUUAAAAAUAAUUAAGCCAAAAUAGGUGAAGAUCCUUUUUGAAAGAAAAUAGCAAAAGCUACCGUAGGGAUAACAGCGUAAUUUUUCUUGAGAGGCCUUAUUUAGGGAAAAGUUUGCGACCUCGAUGUUGGAUUAUA
RNAcentral lists this ribosomal RNA (390 nucleotides) under Macridiscus aequilatera. Its description in RNAcentral is "partial 16S ribosomal RNA". It matches the Rfam family "Bacterial large subunit ribosomal RNA", at positions 1931 to 2541 of the family's 2925-position model. Lineage: Eukaryota; Metazoa; Mollusca; Bivalvia; Venerida; Veneridae. The record is from RNAcentral.